This 426-nucleotide ribosomal RNA is filed under the name Helicops hagmanni. RNAcentral's name for it is "partial large subunit ribosomal RNA". It matches the Rfam family "Bacterial large subunit ribosomal RNA", at positions 1923 to 2564 of the family's 2925-position model. The record is from RNAcentral. Lineage: Eukaryota; Metazoa; Chordata; Lepidosauria; Squamata; Dipsadidae.
UUAAACGGCCGCGGUACCCUAACCGUGCAAAGGUAGCAUAAUCAUUUGUCUAUUAAUUGUAGACCAGUAUGAAAGGCAAAAUGAGGAUCUAACUGUCUCUUAUAGUCAAUCAAUUAAACUGAUCUCCUAGUAAAAAAGCUAGAAUACCUCCAUAAGACCAGAAGACCCUGCGAAGCUUAAACAAAACUAUUAUACCCCAUAAUAACUACUUUAGGUUGGGGCGACCUUGGAAAAAAAAAGAACUUCCAAACAAAUGACCAUAAAUCAUUCACUAAGGCCCACAAGCCAAACUACAGACCCAGUCUAACUGAUAAACGAACCAAGUUACUCCAGGGAUAACAGCGCCAUCUUCUUUAAGAGCCCAUAUCAAAAAGAAGGCUUACGACCUCGAUGUUGGAUCAGGACAUCCUAAUGGUGCAGCCGCUA